CUGUAUCCAGGUGACGUGGGGCUGUAGGCAGGGGAUGUAGGGCUAUAUGAUGGGGAGGUCGGGCUGUAAGAGGGUGAUGUGGGGCUGUAGGAAGGUGAAGUAGGACUAUAUGAAGGUGAUGUAGGACUGUAGGAAGGUGAAGUCGGACUAUAAGCAGGUGAAGUGGGGCUAUAGGCAGGUGAAGUGGGGCUGUAUGCAGGUGAAGUGGGGCUGUAGCUGGGAGAUGUGGGGCUAUAACUGGGUGAUGUGGGGCUGUAGCUGGGUGACGUGGGGCUAUAGCUGGGUGAUGUGGGAGAGUAGGAUGGACUGGUAGGCGAAUAAGCCGGACUUGUAGGACUAUAUCCUGGAGAACUAGGGCUAUAUGUCGGAGAGGUCGGACUGUAACCUGGUGAUGUAGGGCUGUAGCCCGGAGAUGUGGGACUGUACCCAGGUGAUGUGGGGCUGUACCCAGGCGAUGAUGGACUAUAGCCUGGGGAUGAUGGACUGUACCCAGGAGAUGAGGUGGGAGAAAAUGCCAUCCCACCAACAUAAGGUGAAAAUUGGGCAUCCGAUGUGGGAGACAGACGCAAAUUUGGACUC
This 579-nucleotide long non-coding RNA is filed under the name Phaseolus vulgaris (common bean). RNAcentral's name for it is "long non-coding RNA (PVUL_LNC004455)". The record is from RNAcentral. Lineage: Eukaryota; Viridiplantae; Streptophyta; Magnoliopsida; Fabales; Fabaceae.